Molecule: ribosomal RNA, 813 nt
Filed under: uncultured eukaryote
Lineage: Eukaryota
Description: bacterial SSU rRNA
Rfam family: Eukaryotic small subunit ribosomal RNA
Source: RNAcentral
ACGGUGUCGACUGGUCUGUCCCCGGGACGUCCUGCCGGUGAGCUCGUACGCCUCGUUCGCGCGAGCGUCUAGGCGGCGGCUCAAAUUCAAUCCCAUCGAGAUGCUCUUCACCGAUUGUCAAGGUGGGCCGGCUCUUUUACUUUGAACGAAUUAUAAUGCUUAAAGCAGGCAAAAUAUCACCUGAAUACUGUGUGCAUGGAAUAAUGGAAUAGGACCUCGAUUCUAUUUUGUUGGAGUGCGGAACUCCAACGUAAUGAUUAAUAGGAACGAAUGGGGGCAUUCUUAUUGCGACGUUGAAGGUGAAAUUCUUGGAUCGUCGCAAGACAGACGUAAGCGAAAGCAUUUGCCAAAAACACUUUCAUUGAUGAAGAACGAAAGUUAGAGGUUCGAAGGCGAUCAUAUACCGCCCUAGUUCUAACCAUAAACGAUGCCCGCUAGCGAUCCGCCAACGUUCCUCCAAUGACUCGGCGGGCAGCUUCCGGGAAACCAAAGCUUUUGGGUUCCGGGGGAAGUAUGGUUGCAAAGCUGAAACUUAAAGGAAUUGACCGGAAGGGCACCACCAGGAGUGGAGCCUGCGGCUUAAUUUGACUCAACACGGGAAACCUCACCAGGCCCGGACAUAGGAAGGAUCGCCAGAUUGAGAGCUCUUUCUUGAUUCGAUGGGUGGUGGUGCAUGGCCGUUCUUAGUUGGUGGAUGUGAUCUGUCUGGUUAAUUCCGAUAACGAACGAGGCUCUAGCCUGCUAACUAGGCGUACUUUCGACAUCUCAAAGGUCGGCCGUCCCGGUCAGUGAGGGCCGCGGACGCACCCGAUC